Molecule: microRNA precursor, 80 nt
Filed under: Daucus carota subsp. sativus
Lineage: Eukaryota; Viridiplantae; Streptophyta; Magnoliopsida; Apiales; Apiaceae
Description: sRNA DCAR_mi00003
Rfam family: mir-156 microRNA precursor family
About the family: This family represents the plant microRNA (miRNA) precursor mir-156. Animal miRNAs are transcribed as ~70nt precursors and subsequently processed by the Dicer enzyme to give a ~22nt product.
Source: Rfam by way of RNAcentral
AUGACAGAAGAGAGUGAGCACACAUGGACUUUUUGCAUGUUCAUGCUUGAAUUUAUGCGUGCUCACCCUCUAUCUGUCAU